Long non-coding RNA from Octopus sinensis (East Asian common octopus), 944 nucleotides. RefSeq lists it as uncharacterized. Lineage: Eukaryota; Metazoa; Mollusca; Cephalopoda; Octopoda; Octopodidae. The transcript is spliced from 2 exons. The record is from RefSeq and is a predicted model, not a curated record.
CGUUGACGAAUGAUAGCACGUUUUAUUGUGCUGGCUUCUACAUCAAUACCGCCGCCUUAACAUGAGAGUGUGUGAUGUAGGGAGACAAGAGGGUAUGCGCAGAGAGAAAGCAAUUUCGUAACUGUCUGCGCAUUCUCUCUCUCUCUUAUUCGACACUACAUGGCAAUCACAGGAGAAGGCUAGACCAACAAGCAAGAGAGUGAGCUGCUGUUUUCUAAUUCAAUACGUUCUCGAAGUUUUUUUUUAAACUGCAUUUCAUAUACAAAAACUUCAAAGUGUUGGCUGUUUUAAACAGACCCUUGUCUGGGGAUUCAGGCAGAAUUUAAAAGGCAAGAUCGCACAGCAAACGGAACAAAAACAUGCCGAGGAUUAAAACAACAGUACGCAAAGAUCAACCUAGAUCGAGCGAGCUGUUGGUUAGACAUAGGACUGCAAACAAAGAACUAUCAAGAGCGCGCGCGGCUGAAAAUAUGAGGAGGAUGAGAGAAGAUCCAGAGUACCGGGCGAAAGAGAGAGAACGAAAUGCAGCUGCUCAGAGACGAAACCGUUUGAGCGAGGAGUAUAGGGCAAGAGAACGGGCAAAAAAUGCUCUAUCGAGAGCUCAGGCCAGAAUGGACGACGAGUACAGGCGGAAAGAGCGAGAAGAGAAUGCUAUCUCAAUGGCUAUCCUUCGACAAAAUGACGAGUAUAGGAGGAAGGAGAGAGUAAGAAACGCCAGGGCCAUGGCCCAGGCAAGAGCUAACAGAAAAUUCGAACAGGCAGAAGCCAGAAUGGCACUGAAACGUAACAAUGUUAACUCUAAUUCACAAUCAGAAACUAGUAGUAGAAGGUAUGGGCGACGGUCAACUCGGCAAAAUGGGGCUUUAAAUACGUAAACAUGGGAGAGAUCAUGGAAUUGGUUCAUUUAAAAACAAACAAAAAAAUGAAUGCAAGACAAUUGCAAA